AAGUCGUAACAAGGUUUCCGUAGGUGAACCUGCGGAAGGAUCAUUAAUGAGUAGGUGCUCCGGGCCCGACCUCCAACCCUUUGUUGUCACAAAACCAAUUGUGCUUUGGCGUGGACCGCCCGCGAGGGCUGCCGGUCUUAGGCCCGGCAUGCGCCCGCCAGAGGCAAAACCAAACUCUUGUUUAACCAAAACCGUACAGUCCUGAGUAAAAAACUGAUUCAAAUCAAUCAA
Molecule: unclassified non-coding RNA, 231 nt
Filed under: plant metagenome
Description: partial contains small subunit ribosomal RNA and internal transcribed spacer 1
Rfam family: Eukaryotic small subunit ribosomal RNA (bases 1-46)
Source: RNAcentral